This 207-nucleotide non-coding RNA is filed under the name Desulfobacca acetoxidans. Lineage: Bacteria; Pseudomonadati; Thermodesulfobacteriota; Desulfobaccia; Desulfobaccales; Desulfobaccaceae. The record is from RNAcentral. RNAcentral also lists the same sequence under 1 other name.
ACAAAGGCGGGAGGAUUAAGUAUGAAUUAGAUGUUGGUCAGCAUCCCGGAACACGGUGUAAAUCCGUGGCGGUCCCGCCGCUGUAAUCGGGGACGAGGAGGGCGAAGGGAAUAUCCCGGCCACUGCCGCAGGCCACUGCGGUGGGAAGGUUGCGCCUUCAACGGUUAAUCCGAAAGCCAGAAGACCUGCUGUUCCAGACACAAUUUA